This 72-nucleotide transfer RNA is filed under the name Planctomycetota bacterium. RNAcentral's name for it is "Planctomycetes bacterium (soil metagenome) tRNA-Met". It matches the Rfam family "tRNA". Rfam says of the family: Transfer RNA (tRNA) molecules are approximately 80 nucleotides in length. Lineage: Bacteria; Pseudomonadati; Planctomycetota. The record is from RNAcentral.
GGCGCUGUAGCUCAGAGGUAGAGCAGCGGCUUCAUAAGCCGCGUGUCGUAGGUUCGAGUCCUACCAGCGCUA